CACAGUGCAGCCCAAAGGGCUCUAUGGAAAUAUGCUUAUGAAUGUAUAUAUGACAUAACUUGAAUAUGUUUUAUUCUACAUAUGCCAUAUAACAUGUCUCUGUAAAGGUCAUGAUCUACUGAAUCUAUUAAUCCUAUUUGUAUGUACGCGUCAUUUUUGUAUUUGAAGUUAUGAAUAUUGGCUGUGUACUGGCUUGAUUUUUAAGUAGCCUUUGUAAAGCAUUUGGUCAGUUUCUUGA
Chelonia mydas (Green sea turtle) is the source of this 238-nucleotide long non-coding RNA. RefSeq lists it as uncharacterized. The transcript has 3 exons. The record is from RefSeq and is a predicted model, not a curated record. NCBI's taxonomy places the organism in Eukaryota, Metazoa, Chordata, Testudines, Cheloniidae.